RNAcentral lists this transfer RNA (76 nucleotides) under Pythium insidiosum. RNAcentral describes it as "tRNA-iMet". Lineage: Eukaryota; Oomycota; Peronosporomycetes; Pythiales; Pythiaceae. The record is from RNAcentral.
GAGCAACUUUGGCGCAGAGGAAGCGUGUUGGGGCUCAUAACCCAAAAGGUCGUUGGAUCGAGACCAACAGUGCUAA